This 387-nucleotide ribosomal RNA is filed under the name uncultured bacterium. RNAcentral describes it as "bacterial SSU rRNA". It matches the Rfam family "Bacterial small subunit ribosomal RNA", at positions 95 to 507 of the family's 1533-position model. The record is from RNAcentral.
CCGGCGAACGGCUUAGUAACACGUGGGUACAUACCCCAAACUGGAGCAUAGCUCGUCGAAAGACGGGGUAAUUCUCCAUAAUCCCGCAAGGGUAAAGGCGCAAGCCGAUUUGGGAAUGGCCUACGGCCUAUCAGAUUGUUGGUGAGGUAAAGGCUCACCAAGUCAAUGACGGGUAGGGGGCGUGAGAGCGCGACCCCCAAGAAUGGCACUGCGACACGGGCCAUACUCCUACGGGAGGCUGCAGUCGAGAAUCUUCCGCAAUGGACGAAAGUCUGACGGAGCGACGUUACGUGAAUGAUGACGCCCUUAGGGGUGUAAAGUUCUUUUACCUGGGAGGAAGCCGCAAGGCAGACAGUACCAGAUGAAUAAGGGGAUCCUAAUUCUGUG